UGCCUUGCCACAUGGCAAAACAUAACAAUUCAAUAUCCUGUGUUAGUAGACUUUGAAAGUUAAGAUUCAAAGGUUGAACGCUUGGGGGAUUGCAUACAC
RNAcentral lists this non-coding RNA (99 nucleotides) under unclassified sequences. Its description in RNAcentral is "RT-17 RNA". It matches the Rfam family "RT-17 RNA". Rfam says of the family: Bacteroidales (Bacteroidetes), Clostridiales (Firmicutes). Nearby to self- splicing intron genes The record is from Rfam by way of RNAcentral.